Juglans regia (Persian walnut) is the source of this 713-nucleotide long non-coding RNA. RefSeq lists it as uncharacterized. The record is from RefSeq and is a predicted model, not a curated record. Lineage: Eukaryota; Viridiplantae; Streptophyta; Magnoliopsida; Fagales; Juglandaceae. The transcript has 6 exons.
AGGGAAGCCUUCUUUUACAAAGAAACAUGCAGAUCUUUUGUUCGUUCCAGAUUUUGCCGAAGACUUUCCAGUUGCAAUGCAGAUAUCCCACAAAUAAAGUUUGAUCUACGUGAUCACCAAGCUUGGGCUAUUAUUUGUUUAUGACUUGGAGACCGUUACUGCAGUUUAUAGAAAUAGAAUCUGUCCAGAUCCAAUAUUUUUGAUAGUAGCUUCACCAGUGGGAGGUUUUUUAUGCAAUCAAUAAGCAUGGACAGGUGUUAUUGGCUACUGUAAAUGAUCAAACAAUUGUACCAUUUGUCGUGGCCAGUUGAACAAUUUGGAGCUUGCUGUCAAUCUUGCCAAAAGAGGGAAUCUUCCUGGAGCCGAGCAGCUUGUUGUCCAACGUUUCCAAGAACUAUUUUCCCAAACAAAGUACAAAGAAGCUGCAGAACUUGCUGCCGAGUCCCCCCAAGGAAUCCUCCGGACACCAGACACAGUUGCCAAAUUCCAGAAGAACCUGAUCCGUGAGGCAAUGGCUUUUCUAUUAGACGUUUUGAAGCCAAAUCUUCCUGAACAUAGUUUCCUUCAAACAAAGAGUCUUUCAGCAGUGAGUACUUCUGGCUCAUCUUUUGCACAACAUUUUGAUGCAUAGAUGAAGAGAUGAAGAACGGUUGAUUUAGGUACUUAUAUUGUUGUUUUCUAUUCGAAAUUAUAAUCCUCAUUUAGCGGCAAAA